This 71-nucleotide transfer RNA is filed under the name Marmota monax (woodchuck). Its description in RNAcentral is "tRNA.Ala". Lineage: Eukaryota; Metazoa; Chordata; Mammalia; Rodentia; Sciuridae. The record is from RNAcentral.
GGGGUGGUGAUUCAGUGGUAGAGAGCUUGCCUAGCAUGUGUGAGGCACUGAGUUCAAUUCUCAUCACCACA